RNAcentral lists this small nuclear RNA (114 nucleotides) under Ailuropoda melanoleuca (giant panda). Lineage: Eukaryota; Metazoa; Chordata; Mammalia; Carnivora; Ursidae. The record is from RNAcentral.
GUGCUUGCUUUGGCAGAACGUAUACCGAAGUUGGAACAAUGCAGGGAAAAUUAAUUAUUAACAUGGCCCCUGUGCAAGGAUGAUAUGCAAAUUUAUGAUGCAUUGCAGAUUACA